AACGAACGCUGGCGGCAUGCCUAACACAUGCAAGUCGAACGAGACCUUCGGGUCUAGUGGCGCACGGGUGCGUAACGCGUGGGAACCUGCCCUUAGGUUCGGAAUAACUCCCCGAAAGGGGUGCUAAUACCGGAUAAUGUCUUCGGACCAAAGAUUUAUCGCCUUUGGAUGGGCCCGCGUUGGAUUAGCUAGUUGGUAGGGUAAAAGCCUACCAAGGCGACGAUCCAUAGCUGGUCUGAGAGGAUGAUCAGCCACACUGGGACUGAGACACGGCCCAGACUCCUACGGGAGGCAGCAGUGGGGAAUAUUGGACAAUGGGCGAAAGCCUGAUCCAGCAAUGCCGCGUGAGUGAUGAAGGCCUUAGGGUUGUAAAGCUCUUUUACCCGGGAUGAUAAUGACAAUACCGGGAGAAUAAGCUCCGGCUAACUCCGUG
RNAcentral lists this ribosomal RNA (433 nucleotides) under uncultured bacterium. Its description in RNAcentral is "partial 16S ribosomal RNA". It matches the Rfam family "Bacterial small subunit ribosomal RNA", at positions 29 to 507 of the family's 1533-position model. The record is from RNAcentral.